UACGUAGGGGGCAAGCGUUGUCCGGAUUUAUUGGGCGUAAAGCGCGUGUAGGCGGCCAGGUAGGUCAGUUGUGAAAACUCGGGGCUCAACCCCGAGCCUGCAGUCGAUACGGGCAGACUAGAGUGCUGUAGGGGAGACUGGAAUUCCUGGUGUAGCGGUGAAAUGCGCAGAUAUCAGGAGGAACACCGGUGGCGAAGGCGGGUCUCUGGGCAGUAACUGACGCUGAGGAGCGAAAGCGUGGGGAGCAAACAGG
This 253-nucleotide ribosomal RNA is filed under the name uncultured bacterium. Its description in RNAcentral is "partial 16S ribosomal RNA". It matches the Rfam family "Bacterial small subunit ribosomal RNA", at positions 524 to 776 of the family's 1533-position model. The record is from RNAcentral.